GAUGAACGCUGGCGGCGUGCCUAAUACAUGCAAGUCGAGCGAACGGACGAGAAGCUUGCUUCUCUGAUGUUAGCGGCGGACGGGUGAGUAACACGUGGAUAACCUACCUAUACGACUGGGAUAACUUCGGGAAACCGUAGCUAAUACCGGAUAAUAUUUUGAACCGGAUGGUUCAAAAGUGAAAGACGGUCUUGCUGUCACUUAUAGAUGGAUACGCGAUGCAUUAGCUAGUUGGUAAGGUAACGGCUUACCAAGGCAACGAUGCAUAGCCGACCUGAGAGGGUGAUCGGCCACACGGGAACUGAGACACGGUCCAGACUCCUACGGGAGGCAGCAGUAGGGAAUCUUCCGCAAUGGGCGAAAGCCUGACGGAGCAACGCCGCGUGAGUGAUGAAGGUCUUCGGAUCGUAAAACUCUGUUAUUAGGGAAGAACAUAUGUGUAAGUAACUGUGCACAUCUUGACGGUACCUAAUCAGAAAGCCACGGCUAACUACGUG
RNAcentral lists this ribosomal RNA (497 nucleotides) under uncultured bacterium. RNAcentral's name for it is "partial 16S ribosomal RNA". It matches the Rfam family "Bacterial small subunit ribosomal RNA", at positions 28 to 507 of the family's 1533-position model. The record is from RNAcentral.